AUGGUUGCAGACGUUUACAGUACUGUGAUCCAGUGCAAUCAACAGAUUUCAGUCAGCAGAAUGGCCGUGCGCGCACACACUCACCCCCUUCCAGCCCUGCACACACUGGGAUCAUGUCUUGUUGACAUGACUAAGCAGCUCGGCUUUGUUCAUCUCUUCUUUUCCAUGUCUCGUAGGUUCUGUAGGAUAGUGCCGAUCUCCUUGCCAGAGGUGAUGCCCAUCUUCCUCAAGUCGUGCCUACUCGCGGGGAAGCGAGGAAUGGACCAUCUGCUCAUCUCUGCCAGUAACUUGUCCUCACCCUGGAAGUCAUGGGCUUGGGAGAAUGGUCCUUCACGUGCUGCCAGACCCGCUUCAUCUCCUCCACGUCACCCUCUGCAGUUCCUAGGAAACAGGGCUUUCUACCUCACCUAUGGACUGAGCCAGGCCCAGCUCAUACAUGACCUCUAGUGAGUGAGCAGCAUCUUCUUCAGCUCAACCCAGAUGCGCUCCCCUGAUAUGGCUGCUAGACCACGGGCCUUCUCCCAGAUAACCUCCAGGGGUGCAGGGUCAUGUUCGCCUGCCUUGACUGACACCGACCACAAAACCUGGGGGCAGACCGGAAGAUAUUGACAAGGGAAAAAACGGCAUACAGAAACCCUCACAUACUAAAGUUUGAUUUGUUAAUUGCCAUAGCCAAGUCCAACAUUAACACCUGUCUCAUUUACACCCCAGACAUCUCUGCAAUACCUGAAGUAUCAUAAUAUUCAAAUCAUAUCAAAUGUUAUUGGUCACAUACAUGUGUUUAGCAGAUGUUAUUGCGAGUCUAGUGAAAUGCUUUUGCUUCUAGCUCCGACAGUACAGUAAUAUCUCACAAGUAAUAUUUAACAGUUUCACAACAUAUACCCAAAAUACAUGU
RNAcentral lists this long non-coding RNA (895 nucleotides) under Salmo trutta (river trout). Its description in RNAcentral is "lncRNA (ENSSTUG00000034822.1)". Lineage: Eukaryota; Metazoa; Chordata; Actinopteri; Salmoniformes; Salmonidae. The record is from RNAcentral.